CUGGUAAAACAUAGAUCUCCUGUGUCUGUGCAGGUGUUUCAGAGGAGACCAGCCCUAGAUUCAUUAGCAUGAAGGAAGAAGACCCAUCUUCACCAGGAUGGGCAGGUGUCUGCACUCUGGGAUUCCCCCCAGCAGUGCUCCACCCUCGACACACCCAGUUCUACAGUCUUCAGACGGUUAUGACCGAUACCACGGGCCCCACUGGCUCUCAAGCCUCUGUACCACUGAGUAGGACAUGAAGGGCUGUUGCAUAGGUCGUGCACACAUCUCAUCAAACGAAGCAGAAAGUUGGCGUUUAUCGCUUUCAUUUCAACCACAGAAAUCCAG
This is a long non-coding RNA of Peromyscus eremicus (cactus mouse), 327 nucleotides long. RefSeq lists it as uncharacterized. Lineage: Eukaryota; Metazoa; Chordata; Mammalia; Rodentia; Cricetidae. The record is from RefSeq and is a predicted model, not a curated record. The transcript has 3 exons.